UUGCACCUGUUUAAACAGAGUUCAGAGAAAGACUGGUCAGGUGGCCACUUUCUGGCAAAGGAAGGAAAGACUGGAGGGAAAAAGUGCUCACUCUGGAAGCCGUAUGAGAGAUGCAGCUGGGAUACAGAAAACAAUAGAGUGAUACAGCAGGAGUCUGAGGGAAAUCCUGCCAGAAGCUACAUGAGAGCCCCAACGUGACCUCUGGUAACAGACUUGGGUUUUCACUGUCCGUAAGACAUAACAUUAAAAGCAAAAUCUCAUCUAUUCUGAAGGGAUGGAUGAUGGUUCUUUACAGAUGAUUGUUUAAUAUAGGCUUAAUAUCCAGCUCACUCUCAUGUCUGACACUAAAUAAAAACUCAACUGGAACAAAGGAAAAAAGUAUGACUAACACAGUUUUAAGAUUUUGAUAAAAACAUUUCUCAUUUUACUCUGAAAAUAGUUUAUUAAGGGGUGUUGAUUAAUGGGCAUUAACCAGAAAGAAUUUUAAAGCAUUGAGAUAUGCUCCAGUCUUCAAAACGCCUUCUCCCCCACUCACUGACUUUAAAUAUGCAUCUUCAAAAUUCAUUCCAUUUGUGCAGAUUGUGCAAAGAAGAGUUUUUCUCCCAAAUGUCCACUGGCACACUUUGCUUUCAUCAUCUAAUAUUCCUGUUUCCUCCCUUCAGGUAACGGUGACUUCCCUUCAGUCUCCAGCUGAACCUUCCCUGUCUCUGAAGGCUCUGCUUUGAAGAUGGUGGUAUAAAAGGAUCCUGAACUCCGAUAAACACACCAGAUCUACAGUUGCUAUGGAAAAACUUUCUCUGAAAACUGGCUGAGUGAAUAUUACACAUUGGACGAACAAGAAAAGGCCACGUGGAAACAGGGCCUGGGUUUUUGGACUUGAUCAUUUUCCUCCCAUGGCCAGAGUGAGCGACCUGUAAACUGCCAGGAAGGAAAUUGACAGAACUUUCAUAGAACCAAAGACUGACAGAAACAAAGUAAAUAAUGAUGAAACUGAGCAAUAGAUCACCCAGAAGGAGUGUCCCCUGCCAAAACGAAUUGGCAUUUCACCCUCUUGAGAAACAAAUGGACACUCUGUCUCCACAGAAGGCCAGGGUCCAUGUGUCAGCAUCACUUACUUUUUUAUCCUUUCGCCUAAGGAAGCCGCUUCA
Long non-coding RNA from Pipistrellus kuhlii (Kuhl's pipistrelle), 1148 nucleotides. RefSeq lists it as uncharacterized. The record is from RefSeq and is a predicted model, not a curated record. The transcript is spliced from 4 exons. NCBI's taxonomy places the organism in Eukaryota, Metazoa, Chordata, Mammalia, Chiroptera, Vespertilionidae.